GGAUGAACGCCGGCGGUGUGCCUAAUACAUGCAAGUCGAACGCGUUGGCCCAAUUGAUUGAUGGUGCUUGCACCUGAUUGAUUUUGGUCGCCAACGAGUGGCGGACGGGUGAGUAACACGUAGGUAACCUGCCCAGAAGCGGGGGACAACAUUUGGAAACAGAUGCUAAUACCGCAUAACAGCGUUGUUCGCAUGAACAACGCUUAAAAGAUGGCUUCUCGCUAUCACUUCUGGAUGGACCUGCGGUGCAUUAGCUUGUUGGUGGGGUAACGGCCUACCAAGGCGAUGAUGCAUAGCCGAGUUGAGAGACUGAUCGGCCACAAUGGGACUGAGACACGGCCCAUACUCCUACGGGAGGCAGCAGUAGGGAAUCUUCCACAAUGGGCGCAAGCCUGAUGGAGCAACACCGCGUGAGUGAAGAAGGGUUUCGGCUCGUAAAGCUCUGUUGUUAAAGAAGAACACGUAUGAGAGUAACUGUUCAUACGUUGACGGUAUUUAACCAGAAAGUCACGGCUAACUACGUGCCAGCAGCCGCGGUAAUACGUAGGUGGCAAGCGUUAUCCGGAUUUAUUGGGCGUAAAGAGAGUGCAGGCGGUUUUCUAAGUCUGAUGUGAAAGCCUUCGGCUUAACCGGAGAAGUGCAUCGGAAACUGGAUAACUUGAGUGCAGAAGAGGGUAGUGGAACUCCAUGUGUAGCGGUGGAAUGCGUAGAUAUAUGGAAGAACACCAGUGGCGAAGGCGGCUACCUGGUCUGCAACUGACGCUGAGACUCGAAAGCAUGGGUAGCGAACAGGAUUAGAUACCCUGGUAGUCCAUGCCGUAAACGAUGAGUGCUAGGUGUUGGAGGGUUUCCGCCCUUCAGUGCCGGAGCUAACGCAUUAAGCACUCCGCCUGGGGAGUACGACCGCAAGGUUGAAACUCAAAGGAAUUGACGGGGGCCCGCACAAGCGGUGGAGCAUGUGGUUUAAUUCGAAGCUACGCGAAGAACCUUACCAGGUCUUGACAUCUUGCGCCAACCCUAGAGAUAGGGCGUUUCCUUCGGGAACGCAAUGACAGGUGGUGCAUGGUCGUCGUCAGCUCGUGUCGUGAGAUGUUGGGUUAAGUCCCGCAACGAGCGCAACCCUUGUUACUAGUUGCCA
RNAcentral lists this ribosomal RNA (1138 nucleotides) under Limosilactobacillus fermentum. Its description in RNAcentral is "bacterial SSU rRNA". It matches the Rfam family "Bacterial small subunit ribosomal RNA", at positions 27 to 1120 of the family's 1533-position model. Lineage: Bacteria; Bacillati; Bacillota; Bacilli; Lactobacillales; Lactobacillaceae. The record is from RNAcentral.